This 478-nucleotide ribosomal RNA is filed under the name uncultured bacterium. RNAcentral's name for it is "partial 16S ribosomal RNA". It matches the Rfam family "Bacterial small subunit ribosomal RNA", at positions 28 to 523 of the family's 1533-position model. The record is from RNAcentral.
GACGAACGCUGGCGGCGUGCUUAACACAUGCAAGUCGAACGGUAAGGCCCUUCGGGGUACACGAGUGGCGAACGGGUGAGUAACACGUGGGUGAUCUGCCCUGCACUUCGGGAUAAGCCUGGGAAACUGGGUCUAAUACCGGAUAGGACUCCUGGCUUCAUGGUUGGGUGUGGAAAGCUUUUGCGGUGUGGGAUGGGCCCGCGGCCUAUCAGCUUGUUGGUGGGGUAAUGGCCUACCAAGGCGACGACGGGUAGCCGGCCUGAGAGGGUGACCGGUCGAACUGGGACUGAGAUACGGCCCAGACUCCUACGGGAGGCAGCAGUGGGGAAUAUUGCACAAUGGGCGCAAGCCUGAUGCAGCGACGCCGCGUGAGGGAUGACGGCCUUCGGGUUGUAAACCUCUUUCAGCUAUGACGAAGCGCAAGUGACGGUAGUAGCAGAAGAAGGACCGGCCUACUACGUGCCAGCAGCCGCCGUAA